Molecule: ribosomal RNA, 274 nt
Filed under: uncultured bacterium
Lineage: Bacteria
Description: partial 16S ribosomal RNA
Rfam family: Bacterial small subunit ribosomal RNA
Source: RNAcentral
AUACGAAGGGGGCUAGCGUUGUUCGGAAUUACUGGGCGUAAAGCGCACGUAGGCGGAGAUUUAAGUCAGGGGUGAAAUCCCAGAGCUCAACUCUGGAACUGCCUUUGAUACUGGGUAUCUUGAGUAUGGAAGAGGUAAGUGGAAUUCCGAGUGUAGAGGUGAAAUUCGUAGAUAUUCGGAGGAACACCAGUGGCGAAGGCGGCUUACUGGUCCAUUACUGACGCUGAGGUGCGAAAGCGUGGGGAGCAAACAGGAUUAGAUACCCUAGUAGUCC